GAGUNGCGCAGGCUUACACAUGCAAGUCGAGCGGGGGAAGGUAGCUUGCUACCGGACCUAGCGGCGGACGGGUGAGUAAUGCUUAGGAAUCUGCCUAUUAGUGGGGGACAACAUCUCGAAAGGGAUGCUAAUACCGCAUACGUCCUACGGGAGAAAGCAGGGGAUCUUCGGACCUUGCGCUAAUAGAUGAGCCUAAGUCGGAUUAGCUAGUUGGUGGGGUAAAGGCCUACCAAGGCGACGAUCUGUAGCGGGUCUGAGAGGAUGAUCCGCCACACUGGGACUGAGACACGGCCCAGACUCCUACGGGAGGCAGCAGUGGGGAAUAUUGGACAAUGGGCGCAAGCCUGAUCCAGCCAUGCCGCGUGUGUGAAGAAGGCCUUAUGGUUGUAAAGCACUUUAAGCGAGGAGGAGGCUACUUUAGAUAAUACCUAGAGAUAGUGGACGUUACUCGCAGAAUAAGCACCGGCUAACUCUGUGCCAGCAGCCGCGGUAAUACAGAGGGUGCAAGCGUUAAUCGGAUUUACUGGGCGUAAAGCGCGCGUAGGCGGCUAAUUAAGUCAAAUGUGAAAUCCCCGAGCUUAACUUGGGAAUUGCAUUCGAUACUGGUUAGCUAGAGUGUGGGAGAGGAUGGUAGAAUUCCAGGUGUAGCGGUGAAAUGCGUAGAGAUCUGGAGGAAUACCGAUGGCGAAGGCAGCCAUCUGGCCUAACACUGACGCUGAGGUGCGAAAGCAUGGGGAGCAAACAGGAUUAGAUACCCUGGUAGUCCAUGCCGUAAACGAUGUCUACUAGCCGUUGGGGCCUUUGAGGCUUUAGUGGCGCAGCUAACGCGAUAAGUAGACCGCCUGGGGAGUACGGUCGCAAGACUAAAACUCAAAUGAAUUGACGGGGGCCCGCACAAGCGGUGGAGCAUGUGGUUUAAUUCGAUGCAACGCGAAGACCUUACCUGGCCUUGACAUACUAGAAACUUUCCAGAGAUGGAUUGUGCCUUCGGGAAUCUAGAUACAGUGCUGCAUGGCUGUCGUCAGCUCGUGUCGUGAGAUGUUGGGUUAGUCCCGCAACGAGCGCAACCCUUUUCCUUAUUUGCCAGGGGAGUAAUGUCGGGAACCU
This 1107-nucleotide ribosomal RNA is filed under the name Acinetobacter sp. NII-130. Its description in RNAcentral is "bacterial SSU rRNA". It matches the Rfam family "Bacterial small subunit ribosomal RNA", at positions 35 to 1140 of the family's 1533-position model. Lineage: Bacteria; Pseudomonadati; Pseudomonadota; Gammaproteobacteria; Moraxellales; Moraxellaceae. The record is from RNAcentral.